This 719-nucleotide ribosomal RNA is filed under the name uncultured bacterium. RNAcentral's name for it is "bacterial SSU rRNA". It matches the Rfam family "Bacterial small subunit ribosomal RNA", at positions 139 to 869 of the family's 1533-position model. The record is from RNAcentral.
CGGGAUAGCUCCGGGAAACCGGAAUUAAUACCGGAUAUGAUCACGGCCGACAUCGGCCGUGAUGGAAAGAUUUAUCGGCCAGGGAUGGGCUCGCGGCCUAUCAGCGUGUUGGUGGGGUAAUAGCCUACCAAGGCGACGACGGGUAGCAGGCCUGAGAGGGCGACCGGCCACACUGGGACUGAGACACGGCCCAGACUCCUACGGGAGGCAGCAGUGGGGAAUAUGGCACAAUGGGCGAAAGCCUGACGCAGCGACGCCGCGUGGGGGAUGAAGGCCUUCGGGUUGUAAACCCCUUUCGGCAGGGAUAAGUGAAAGUGACGGUACCUGCAGAGGAAGCGCCGGCUAACUACGUGCCAGCAGCCGCGGUAACACGUAGGGCGCAAGCGUUGUCCGGAAUCAUUGGGCGUAAAGAGCUAAGUAGGCGGUCUGUUGCGUCCGCAUGUGAAAACUCGAGGGCUUAACCCCGAGCCUGCAGUGGAUACGGGCAGACUAGAGGUAGGUAGGGGAGAAUGGAAUUCCCGGUGUAGCGGUGAAAUGCGCAGAUAUCGGGAGGAACACCGGCGGCGAAGGCGGUUCUGUGGGCCUUACCUGACGCUGAGGAGCGAAAGCGUGGGGAGCAAACAGGAUCAGAUACCCUGGUAGUCCACGCCGUAAACGUUGGGCGCUAGGUGUGGGAUCCUUCCACGGAUUCCGUGCCGCAGCUCACGCACUAAGCACCC